GACGAACGCUGGCGGCGUGCCUAAUACAUGCAAGUAGAACGCACAGUUUAUACCGUAGCUUGCUACACCAUAGACUGUGGGUUGCGAACGGGUGAGUAACGCGUAGGUAACCUGCCUGGUAGCGGGGGAUAACUAUUGGAAACGAUAGCUAAUACCGCAUAAUAUUAAUUAUUGCAUGAUAAUUAAUUGAAAGGUGCAAUUGCACCACUACCAGAUGGACCUGCGUUGUAUUAGCUAGUAGGUGAGGUAACGGCUCACCUAGGCGACGAUACAUAGCCGACCUGAGAGGGUGAUCGGCCACACUGGGACUGAGACACGGCCCAGACUCCUACGGGAGGCAGCAGUAGGGAAUCUUCGGCAAUGGACGAAAGUCUGACCGAGCAACGCCGCGUGAGUGAAGAAGGGUUUCGGAUCGUAAAGCUCUGUUGUAAGAGAAGAACGGGUGUGAGAGUGGAAAGUUCACACUGUGACGGUAUCUUACCAGAAAGGGACGGCUAACUACGUG
Molecule: ribosomal RNA, 505 nt
Filed under: uncultured bacterium
Lineage: Bacteria
Description: partial 16S ribosomal RNA
Rfam family: Bacterial small subunit ribosomal RNA
Source: RNAcentral